RNAcentral lists this long non-coding RNA (432 nucleotides) under Sorghum bicolor (sorghum). RNAcentral's name for it is "long non-coding RNA (SBIC_LNC015079)". Lineage: Eukaryota; Viridiplantae; Streptophyta; Magnoliopsida; Poales; Poaceae. The record is from RNAcentral.
AGCCUAGUUAGUCCAUGAUUGGACAAUAUUUGUCAAAUACAAACGAAAAAGCUACAGUGUCAAUUUUGCAAAAUAUUUUAGAACUAAACGAGGCCCCAAACACUUUUCCAGCUUCAGGUGCCCCCUAUUCCUUCAGAGUUUCAGACUUCAUUCGAAAUGAUCUCUGCCCUUCGUCUUCCAGUGUAUCAGUCACUGUAGCAGAAACUAACACAAAGCUGUAUUUGCUGAAUCUAUAGCCUUCUCAGUUCUCUCACCUUUACUCUAUGCAUUUUGAGAAGACACUGAAGUUGUAAAAUGAUGGCAAGAUCAAAUGAUGGCACAAGUGUGCAUAUGUCCAGAAAUGCCAACCAUCACUGUACUGGCAAUAUUUUGACUGUGCCUCGCGUCACCAGCUUUCGUCACGGUGGCAGAUUUACAGAGCAAACGCCUAUG